CCUACGGGGAGCAGCAGUGGGGGAUAUUGCACAAUGGGGGGAACCCUGAUGCAGCGACGCCGCGUGGGUGAAGGAGUAUUUCGGUAUGUAAAGCCCUAUCGGCAGGGAAGAAGCAAGACGGUACCUGACUAAGAAGCCCCGGCUAACUACGUGCCAGCAGCCGCGGUAAUACGUAGGGGGCGAGCGUUAUCCGGAUUCACUGGGUGUAAAGGGAGCGUAGACGGCCAUGCAAGCCAGGGGUGAAAGCCCGGGGCCCAACCCCGGGACUGCCCUUGGAACUGGAUGGCUGGAGUGCGGGAGGGGCAGGCGGAAUUCCUGGUGUAGCGGUGAAAUGCGUAGAUAUCAGGAGGAACACCGGCGGCGAAGGCGGCCUGCUGGACCGCGACUGACGUUGAGGCUCGAAAGCGUGGGGAGCGAACAGGAUUAGAUACCCCUGUAGUC
This 441-nucleotide ribosomal RNA is filed under the name uncultured bacterium. Its description in RNAcentral is "partial 16S ribosomal RNA". It matches the Rfam family "Bacterial small subunit ribosomal RNA", at positions 338 to 795 of the family's 1533-position model. The record is from RNAcentral.